UGGCUUCCACUAGCUGGUGAACUUUCCAUGCCAAAACUUCACUUGACGCUGCAAAUGAAACAACAAAAAACACAACAUUAAAUGUUGAGCAAGUAAUAAGCAUAAGCAAUGAAACAACUCAUACGAACCUGUUGCAGUCAGUGCUAGGGCUGAUCUUGUAAGGGAUGUUGACACCGCACUUGCCUGGGAGUCCGCUUGCAAUACCAUAGUUGAUGCCAGAAAUGCCGGCGGCCGCACUUUUGAUGCAUUUGCAAGCUGCUUGCCGGUCUGGUGUUGUUUGGGCGGCGGAGUUGAGAGAUUUUAUGCCGCCGCAGCAACCUGGGGGAACGCCACCAGCACCAUUCCCUGUCAAGUAACCAAUGCAGGGUGCGAGGGAGCUUGUGACUUGACCACAGGUUACGGCCCCUUGAGCCAGGGGUGCACCCACCACCAUGCACAACACCGCCACACAUGCAAGCUUAAGGGACAUUGAGCUAGCCAUAUCGAUUAAUCACAAGAAAAACAAACUUGUAAGGAAAAUGCUUGCUUGGAGUAGUAGUACUAUUGCUGAUUGUCGUGGUUAGGGCUUGAGGGUAGGAGGGUUUUUAUAGCCAAAAGUAGUAGCGGGUGAUGUCUGAAUUUUACUUUCCUAGCUAUUAGGUAAGUUGAGAUUAUCCGAUCCAAACAUUAACACACCACAUUAAAAGUUGAGACCAUUCAAUUAGGUUCAACUGCCAACCUACGUGAUUAUUGUUUUCUUUCAAUACAAUUAAAACCAGCGUCCAUUUGAUUUCACUCAAUCAUGCCUCCACAGCUAGGACUCAAAUAUUGGUUUAACUUUUUUCUAGGUGUUUUCUUAUAAACAUGAGAUUUACAUUUGAUGUAUUUAUAAAUGCAUUUAUUGUCAGAAUGAUACCAUUUUAUUAAAAGUAAUUUGAUUUAUAAUUGUUUGUAUAUAUACUUUUAUAUAUUAAGUCUUUAAUUGAAUUGGUAUUACGAUUCACCCAAGCAUCUAUUUAAUUGAAAAUUUGUUAAAAUAUUCAUAUAACAAAUAUUAAUAUUAAUAUAAAUGUAUUUUUAUUUUUAUUAUAAAUAAAACUAUAAUAAGAUUUAAACUUAUGACUCAUAAAUUUUACUCUUUUUAACUUAACUAUUUCAACUAAAAUUUCAUUUAGUUUUAAUAUAAAUUUUUAUAAAUAUAUUAUUUACAUGAAUUUUCCUUUUCCAGGCGGUAUGCCAUGGAACUAAUAUAAAAUAUAAACAAAUGGUUAUUUUGUUAUUUUCAAUGGAAAAAAAAAACUUCACAAGAUUAGGACACAUGCAUGGUUUUUUUAAUAUAUAUAUAUAUAUAUCAUGCAACAUUCUAAAUCUAUUUAUAGAUUAUUUUGUUGAUUGAAUUUUUAUUUUUUUUUAUUUUGGUAAUUAUAUAAAACUAAAUAUUUUCUUCGCGCAAUGUUAAGAGCAGUUUGAAAUUUAAAAGAAGUGUGGAUUCUAAUAAUAAAUUUAGUUAUCUAAUGUUUACAUAUUUUAUUAAUUUGGUCUUAAAUAUAAAAAUUAAAUUCAACAAAAUUAGCCCUCAAUGUUUACAAAAUUUUUCAUUUUAAUUCAAAUUCUAAAAUAAUCCAAUAAAUUUAGCUCUCAACAUUUACAAAAUGAAAGGAUUUGAUUUUUAAAAUUUUAAUUUUUUUUUUUAAAAACCCAAAACACAAACCUAAAUAAACUGAAAAAGAAGAAGGAAUAAUUAUCAUCACCACGAUCUAAUCUCUCAACUUUAAAAUAAGACUUCAACUUCGGUUUAACCCCAAGACAAGGCGAAACAUUGAAAGUAAGUGCAGCGGAUGCCAUUGAUUCUCCUACCUUUUGGCUAAACACAUAAAUUUGAACAACUUCAUACAUAACUAGCAGCAGUACUAAAAAAUCAUUAAUACUAUAUUUUCAAGUACAAGAAAUUGAAAAAAGAAUCACGGGUAGAGUACAAAAAUGAAAUUUGGUGUGAACCUAGAUUAACAAAACAAGGUUCACGGUUUCUCAAAAACACAAUACUAAAUUUUUAGAAUUUCUUGUGAAGAUCAAGCAAUGAGACAAAUACUGAAAUUGGCAAUGCCUUAAUAGCAAAUAAUAAUUCAAACCAAUGUAGAAAAAAGAUGAAGAAGAAGAAGAUAGGAAAAGAAUUUUUAGUUUACAUUAAAAGCCUUGAAAAGGUAGACCGAUAGGAUUGAUUGUUUUGAAUAUUACUCAACUUUCUCAUUAAUUCUUGUACUAUUAUGGCUAAGUGUGUUUUUAGAUGGUAAUGAAUUUUUUUAAUUGUUAAUAAUUUUUACAAUUAUUACACUUGAUUUGGCAGUUGUUUUUCUUUUUAAUUUACAAAAUUUUAAAAAAUUAAAAAUUUCUAUUUUGUAAAUGCUAAGAGCUAAAUUUAUUAUUAUUUAUUUUAGAAUCUAAACUAAAGUGACAAAUUUUGUAAAUAUUUGGUGUUAAAUUUAUUGGAUUUUUAUAUUUAAAAUCAAAUUGAUAGAAUGUGUAAAGAAAGUUAAUUUUUUUAUUAGACAAAUAAAAAAUAACCCAUUUCAACACUUCCGAAAAAUUUUCAAACGGCCGUUAACAUUUAGUGAUGAAAAUAUUUGAUUUCAUAUAGUUUAAUAAUUAAAAUAAAAAUAAUUAAAAAUUUAGUAAUCAAAGUAAAACACAAGUGAUAUUAUUCUAGUGAUCAUUUCUGUACUUGACCCUAAUUUUUUUUUCAAAACACUGUUAAAAAACGAUUAAUUUCUCGUUUUGGCCGGAGUUAAAAUUUUUAAUAUAUUUGUUUUUAUUAAAUUUAAAAAUUAUAAUUUUACAUAAUAUAUUUUUGAUAGAAUACAUAUGAUAUAAUUUUAAUCAGUGACACCUGUUAAAGCUUGUUAGAUCUCCUGUAUCUCUUUCAAUCUGGUGGUAAAUGAAGCAAUCAAUGAGUAUUACAACCAGCCACAUGUCAUUCAAUUCACAUUAUAUCAAUCUUUUCCCUUUUCUCUCAUUUUGGUAGUUAAUUCCUUUUUUUGUCAUCGAAAUUAUAUUUUUUUCUCAAAUUGAUAAUUUCCUUAAUCCGUUAAGUUUGUUAAAAGAAACCUUAAUCUUAUUUAAAUUAUAUCUUUUUUUUUUUAUUUUGAUACUUAAACAUUUUUGUCACAUGUGGUAUGUAAUUUAUUUUUUCUUAAGUUGUUAGUUUAAUUAUUACUCAAAUAGUUAAGUCUAUUUAAAAAAAGAUAACUAUUUAAAAAUUACCAUAUUCGAACUAGCUAGGCCAUUAGUUCCUGGUUUAAUCAGUUUAUCUAGUUUGAUGAAAUCAAUUAUUAAAAAUUCAUAAAAAUAAAAAUGUUAAAAAAUAGAGAAAACUAGCUCAACUAGUUUUUUUUUUAAGCUCGACUCAAUCAAUCUGUAUCAGUUUGUAGGUUAAUCGGUUCAAGCCCUAUCUCCAAACUAGUAUCCCAGUUGGUUCCUAGUAUUAAGGGUGAGCAAAAUUUGAAUCGACUCGAAAAAAUUUAAAAAAGUUCAAAUUUUGAAUUAUUUGAAUCGAGUUAAUCGAAUCAACUCGAUUUUUUUUUAAUUUCAAGUUCGAGUCGAGUUGAGUUUUUGAAUUCAAAUGACUCGAAUAAUUCGAUUAAGCCGAAUACCAAACUAUAAUAUUUUACAUUUUACCUCAAACCCCAAACCCUUUUACUUUUCCCCCAAAACUUUACUCAUUCCUCCUUGUCUGCCCCUGUAACGCCCCAAAUUUUGAAUUGUUACUGUUAGUUUCUAUUUAUAAGUAAGUAUUUGCUUCAGUGGUUAAGUGUUAUGUGUUGGUGUUUGGAUCGGGGGUUCAAGUUACACUUUUAGAGAAUUUUAUUAUUCUUUUGUUUCAACUCUUAUCCUUGAAUGCUUGAAUUAAGUUUGUAUCUGCAUUAAUUUGUGUCAAGAAUGAGUCUUCUAGUUUAAUGGUUAAGUUUUGUAUUACCUAUGGUCUCGUGUUCGAGUCUCUGCGUAGGCAAUAAAGAAAUAUUUUGGCAUGCUAUCGGGAAAUCAGUUUUAUUUUAAUAAUUAUUUUUAUUUAAAACUUAUUUUUAGUUUUUUUUAUUUUGGUUCUUCUCCUUCCUUACUGUUCAUUUCCUUCUUCUUUUUUCUCCUUUUGUAACACCCCUAACUCGAAUCCGUCGCUGGAACAGGGUUAGGAGUAUUAUUGAAGUUUACAAUUUAAACAGGCAGAAAAAUUAAACAUUUCAUAACAUAUAGCAUUCAUGUUAGAAACCAAUCAUAAUUAUGCAUAUUGUCCCUAAUACGAGCCCUCGAGGCCCAAAAUACACCUUAGAAAUAAUUCGGGACUAAAUUGAAAAUUCGGAGCAUUUUUUAGAAACUUAUAAAAUUUUUAAAACUACAGGGGUCACAUGGCCGUGUGGCUAGGUUGUGUGACUCAUAUGGCCAACAGACACGCCCAUGUCUUAGACCGUGCGGGUAUUCGAAAUAGGGACACACGGUCGUGUCCCAGCCAGUGUCCAUGCCCGUGUAACUCACUAACUUGGGCCACACGGUCAAGCCAUACGCCCGUGUGCCAGGCAUUGUGAGCAUACUAACUUGCAUUCUUUAAAAGAUACAGGGGACACACGGCCAUGUCACCUGACCGUGUGUGACACACGCCCGUGUCUCUGCCCGUGUGGACAAAAAUAGGCUAUUUUUCAAGUCAUAAAUAUUCAUGUAUUCUUUAAAAGAUACAGGGGACACACGCCCGUGUCUCUGCCCGUGUCUCUGCCCAAUUUGGUACCAACCUAAACACAACAAUUUGCAUAUAACCAAGUCAUAAAUAGGCAUCCAAAACCAGCCAAAAUCAAGCUUAAAACAUGUAAUAUCAUCACAUACAACCAAUAUGCCCUUAGGCACCUCAAAUGACAACUUAUAAUAUUAAUAUUCAUGUAUUCAAUAUAGCCAAAUGUAUAACUCACUUAUAUGCAUAUUUUCAUCCAAAGUUUAUUAAGCAAAUUUACAUCAUUUCUUACCAAAUUACUUACCUUCCAAAACAUAUUAUUUGGUGCUAAAAUGUAUUUAACAUACUAACAUAUUUAACUUAUAUGCCUUACAUAUCCAGACACCAAUUCAUGAUCAAUUCUUCACAUUCCAAAACACAUAUAUGAAAUGCACAUUAGGUUACCUUUUUACCACUCUUUAUUCAAUCAUGAACCAAACUACAUGUCAACCAUAAUAAGCAAAAUAUGCACAUAUCCAAAAUUCCAUAACACAAACAAAACAAAUGGCUAAUCUCAACAAAACACAUAUAAGCCAACAUUGGCCAAACUAAUCUAUACAUGCCAUUAUAACCGAAAUUAAACAACCGAAUGUACCAAAAGAGCCAAUGGAUAGUGUGAUAUAGCUCCGACAAGCUUUCAACCAGAACGAGCUUUCGAAUCACUAAAAACACAGAAAAUAACACAGAGUAAGCAUUCAAGCUUAGUAAGUUCAUAUAGCAUAUAAUUUAACUUACCAUUUAGUCACAUUUAAGGUAAGCAUACAAAACAUAUCCAAACUCAAUUAGGAUAAAAGCCUCAACACAUAUCCUCAUCAACCAUGUUAGUCAUGUAAUUCAUAUAAAUAUCAAGAAACAUGUAUGAGCUCAACAAUAAUCAAACUUGCAUGUACAUAUAAUUUCCACAUCAUGUAUUUACAUAUCAUGUACAAAUCAUUUUCAUAUAUCUCAUGUAAAUACAUGUAGUAGUUUGUAUUGAACUCAUGUAAUAUCAUAACAGAACAGUGCCCGUUGAACCAUUUAGAUUAUUGUUGGAUACGCGGAUAGUACACAUGAGGUGUACUGAACUGUAAUUCAUCAAUUCAUGUACAUGUAUGCUCAUAUGAGCUAUAAACAGUAAGCUCCUCUGAGAUGAAUAACAAUAAGCUUGUACGAGCUGAAUAUCGGUAAGCUCAUAUGAGCUGAGUAUCGGUAAGCUCAUAAGAGCUGAAAUCGAUAACCCUAAUGACAUGUUUACCAAGCCAUGACAUUCCACUAACACAUUUAACCUUUAAAAUUAUUUCAAUUUACAAGUUUAAGAAAGAACAUAAAAGAUGAUACUUGGCUUUAUUUUACUAAAUUUUGUUAUUUACUUAAUUACUUAUUUAACCUUUAAAAUCAUUUCAAUUUACAAGUUUACUAAGCCAUGACAUUCCACUAACACAUUUAAGGGUUAUUUACCAUAUAAGGACCUCUACUUUAAAUUUUUAUAGCUAUUUAAUACCUUUAGCUAUUAGAACUUUACUUUUACACUUUACGCGAUUUAGUCAUUUUUAUCAAAUUGAACAUGUAAACGGUAAAAUUUCUUAACGAAAUUUUCAUAUGGUAAUAUUAUCAUGUUUUCGACCAUAAAAUAAUAAUAAAAUAAAAUUUUUUACUUCAUAUUUGUGGUCCCAAAACUACUAUUCUGAUUUCACUGAAAAUGGGUUGUUACACCUUUCUUGCUUGAUUGCUUCCGUAAGUUUGCUAUCGUGCUUAAUUGGGCAUUCUGUGUGGUUUCUUACAUUGAUUGCAAGGAUAUUGCGUAAGUUAUGUUGUUGUUUUUUACCUAUUUUUUCUAGACUUCGUCUGUUUCGUCGAGGUUAGAUAUUACUGUUAAUGGUUGUAAAAUCUCGUUAAUAGUUCCAAUGGAUCUUCUUUUAGGAAAAGGUUUCAAAAGUAACAUUUCCCUGUGAGAUUAGGUCCGAAUUGUUGUUGCUUGCUUGUCAGUAAUUGAAAAUUUCUAUUUUGGAUAGCUGCGUCGAAGUUUUCGACGAACGUUAGUUUUGAGUGCUAAUUUUGGCAUUUUGAGUUGAUUUAGUCAUUUAAUUCGUCAAUUAAUUGUCGUUUUAGGUUUCAGAUUCUUGUGUGUUGCUUCUACAUCGAAACUACAUCAAGUGUGUAACGAAAACUCAUUUUUCUAUGAUUUACGAAUGCUAGAAAACAUGGCUGUUAAUCACACGACCGUGUGUUAGGCCAUGUAACUUACUGUUUAUGUAUUAAAGUCACCGAGCCAAGGACGUGGGCGUGUGUCCUAGUCGUGUAACUUACUAUUUGUGGAUUGGAGUCACACAGGCUAGGGACACGUUUGUGUGUCCAGACUGUGUGAAGGAAAUUUUAUGAAUUGAGUCACACAAGCGUGUGCUUGACUAUGUCAUAGACCGUGUAACUCACUUUUUUGAGCCACACGAUCGUGUGCCAGGCCGUGUGAUAGAUCGUGUGCUACACGGGCCAGCCUUCCGGGACAUGUGAAUCCACACAAGUGUGUGGGUCAAAAUUUCAAAUUUUUUAUUAGGGCCGUAAACAUCAUUCCAGUCAAACGUAGGCCUACUGUAGGGUCUGGAUGAUCUGAUUUGGGUUAUAAAACCCAUUGACUAGUUAUCUGUUUCUGUAUAAACUGUUAUUUUAUAUACAUCAUAGAAUUGUAAACUAGAGAGUAGUUGUAUUCUGUAUUAAUUGAGUAUAACCUGAAAUUUGUAACAUCGUAUGCUUAUAUCUGUAUCUGUAACAUUGCAUCUGCAUUGGGGUUGGGAUUGAAUAAGGAGGAAGUUAUGGCAGUUAAAUAAUCUGCUAAGACUGGUGGCUAAGACACGUAAAUGUAUCUAAUUUUGGUGACUUUCGCAUUCUGUCCUAGCAAUUAGUCUGCAACCUUUUGAACGUGACAUAUGGUCACUAUGUGGUGUGUAGGGACGAUACCCUUUUUGGUGUGUAGGGUUGGAUGCAGAUGGUGUGUAAUUGACAUAUUCUACUCUAUUUCCGUAUAUAAUUCUGAGAACUGUUCUAACUUUAAGAAAUUGAAGAUCUAUUUUGUUGUUUCACUUAAUAAUAAUAUAAGUUAUACGCUAUGUAUAACACCCUUUACCCGAGACCGUGGUCGGAGUCGAGCAUGAGGUGUUACUUGACUUAACUUAAAAGUUCAGGGCAUAAAAAUUUACUUUCAAAAUUAAUUUCACCAUUCACAAUAAAGUUGUCCACCUGAGCAGCAGUCACUAAAUUAAUUAUAACUCAAGCUAAGAAACUCGAAAUUUAGAUUCGUAAAUUUUCCCUGAAACUAGACUCAUAUAUCUAUUCACAAAAAUUUUUCAGAAUUUUUUAUUUGACCAAUUAGUACAGUUUAUUAGUUGAAGUCUCCCCAGUUUCACUAAUCGACUAUCCUGACCUCUCGUCACUAAAAUUCAAUUAUCUCAUUAUACAGACUUGACAUGCUGAUUCCACUUAUUUAUACUUAAAAUAUACUCAUUAAGGAAUUUAAAAAUAUAAUUUAUAACUCAUAAUUCUAUUUGUACAAUUUUUAAUGAAUUUCUAAAGUCAGAACAGGGGACUUCAGAAUCAUUCUGACUCUGUCUCACUAAAAUUAAAAUAUCUAAAAGUAUAUAACUCUUUUGCUUACUCUAUUGCUUUCAUGUGAAAGUAGACUCAUUCAGAUUUAAUUUCAUCUCUCGCUAAACAUAUAAUUCUAUUUCUACAAUUUUUGGUAAUUUUUCAAAGUUACAUCAAUGCUGCUGCCCAAAAAUAGUUCCAUUGAAAUUUUUAAAAAAAAAUUCAAUAUAACCCCUUUAUAAUUAUCUAACCUUCCCUGCAAAUUUCAAAUCACAACCAAUUUCAGUAUUUCAACUACUUCACUUAAAUACUAAUGAAGUUCAACUAAUCAACCAUUUCAAACUAAAAACAUGUAUAGUUCAAUGUUUAACACAACCAUCACAUUCAAAUUUAUUCAUUCUAUUACUUUUUACUUCAAUUCCCUAUACAUGUCAUAUAAAUCCAAAAAGUUGUUUAACAAAAUCUACAGGAGUAAAUCUGGAUAGUGUGAUUCUUGGUGUAGAUCUGAUCCUCCGAAUGUAUAAAUACGUCAAUCUACAAGAAUCAAUAAACACACAAUUAAGCGUAUAGAAAGCUUAGUAAGUUCAUAGGCACCAAACAUAAAUCUUACCAAACAUUUAUACACUUAUACAUUAUACACCAUUACUAAGUUUACCUGUCAACCACAAUCUUUGGUGAGUUCCUUGGUAUAAACUCACUACUACUUAUUCUUUUACCAUAAUUCCUUUGGGCCCAUUUGUCACUUACCAUCCUUGAUCAAAAUUAAGGAACGGUUACGGAAAAUUGAGUACUUCACUUUCACUUUGCCAUAGUAUAACUAUGGUCUUACGUAUGAUCAAACAUCACUUGUCCUUGAUAAGAUAAGUGUAGCUAGGCAACCACUUAUCACUUUGUCACUUGAUCAGAUAAGUGCAGCUAAAGCUACCAUUUAUCACUUUAUCACCACUUAUCACUUGUUCUUGAUUAGAUAAGUGUAGCUAAAGUUACCACUUAUCACUUUGUCACCACUUAUCACUUGUUCCUAAUCAGAUAAGUGUAGCUAAAACUACCACUUAUCACUUUGUCACUUGAUCAGAUAAGUGUAGCUAAGCUAUCACUUAUCACUUUGUCACUUGAUCAGAAGUACUCAAAUCCGGUGUUCUGCUCAAUUUGAUCAUUUAUUCAGUUUUCACAUUUUUAUUUUAUUCUCAUUUCAUCAAUAAAUAUAUAUAUUUCAUCAUACAUUAUAUAAUUCAUGAAAUUAACAUUUAAUCAUUAAAUUUUAGCCAUAUGAACUUACCUGGGUUGAUUUGCUGAAUUUGUAAAAGUUUAGGGACUAAUCAGCUACUUUUUUUUUCCUCGACUUGUUUCGGGUUCUCAAUAUGAUUCAAAUAUAUGAAAAACCAACUUGGAGGGACUCUUCAAUGGUGUUUUUUGCUAAAAAAUAUGAGGAAUUGCCUAGAAACACUUUUAGUUAAGAUUUUUAUUUGUUAUUUUUUACAAAAUUUCCAAUUUUGCCCUUAUUACAUCACUUUUUCAAAUUUUUCUUCUCUUAUGUCGUCUCAACUAUUCCAUAUUGGCAUAUUUAUGCCUUAAGUCCCUCCUUAUUUACCACUUAAGCUAUUUAAUCACUUUUAACAAAUUUUACAUUAUUUUCAGUUUAAUCCUUUUUAAUUAAUUAACCACCCAAACGUUAGAAUUUUCUAACGAAAAUUUAAUACCAACUCAAUGACACUCCAUAAAUGUUUCUAAAAAUAUUUAUGGCUCGAUUUAUGAGGUUGAGGUUUCAAUACCUCAUUUUCGAUUCUAAUUAUUUUAAUAUUUAUUCUUAGUACAUUAUUCACUAUUUCAAAAAUUUUCCUAACUUCGCAUUUAACUUAUACUCACUAAAUUAAUAAUAUUUUCUACUCAUUUGUCAAAUUUAAUGAUCUCGAAUUACCAUUCCGACACCACUGAAAAUUCAGGCCAUUACAACUCUCCCCCCAUUUUGGAAAUUUCAUCACCGAAAUUUCGUACCUGAAAAUAAAUUCGGAUACUGAAAUCUCAGCAAUUCCUCUGUUUCCCAGGUUGCCUCCUCAGAUCCAUGUCGAUUCCAUAACACCUUAACUAGUGGUACAUGUUUAUUCCUCAACUCUUUAACCUUCUGAGCUAAAAUUUUCACCGGUUCCUCUGAAUAAGUCAUGUCAGGUUGAAGCUCUAUUUCCGUAUGAGGAAUUACAUGUGAUGGAUCUGAUCUGUACCGUCUCAACAUAGACACAUGAAACACAUUAUGAAUCUUUUCAAGUUCCGGGGGCAAAGCUAAUCUAUAGGUUACCGGACCGAUUCUUUCAAUGAUUUCAUACGGCCCGAUAAAUCGUGGGCUGAGUUUCCCCUUUUUGCUGAACCGCAAAACUUUCUUCCACGGUGACACUUUCAAAAAUACACGAUCACCCACAUUAAACUCUAUAUCCCUUCUCUUCAAAUUUGCAUAUGAUUUUUGCCGAUCGGAGGUAGCUUUUAAACAAUCUCGAAUAAUACGAACUUUUUCUUCAGUUUCCUGAGUCAAUUCCACUCCCACUAGUUUCGAUUCACUUAAUUCAGACCAAUAUAAUGGAGUUCUACACUUUCUUCCAUACAAAGCUUCAAACGGUGCCAUUUUAAUGCUAGUUUGAUAACUAUUAUUAUAAGCAAAUUCGGCUAAAGGUAAAUACCUUUCCCAGCUACCGCCGAACUCAAGUAUACAACACCUUAACAUAUCUUCUAAAAUCUGAAUCACUCGCUCUGACUGCCCAUCUGUCUAGGGAUGAAAAGCUGUGUUGAAAUUUAAUUUGGUGCCUAAAGCUUCCUGUAAUUUACUCUAAAAUCUCGAGGUAAAUCUCGGAUCUUGAUCUGAAAUAAUAGAUGUCGGUACCCCAUGUAACCUCACUAUCUCAGACACAUAUAACUCCGCUAACUUUUCAAGCUGAUAAUCUGCUCUGACUGGAAUAAAAUGUGCUGACUUAGUUAACCGAUCAACAAUCACCCAUAUUGAAUGUUUCUUCUUCAGAGUUACUAGUAAUCCAGAUACAAAAUCCAUCGUAACAUGUUCCCAUUUCCAAUCUGGAAUCAUAAUGGGCUGUAACAACCCUGUCGGCACUUGAUGCUCAGCUUUCACCUGUUGACAGAUCAAACAUCUUGCUACAUACUCAAAGAUUUCCCGUUUCAUUCCGGGCCACCAAUACAUUUUCUUCAAAUCACAAUACAUUUUUGUACUACCCGGGUAAAUAGAACACAUACUACUGUGAGCCUCUGAUAAAAUAUCAUUUUUCAAGUUUAAAUUAUUCGGAAUACAUAUUCUAUUACGAUAAUAUAACAUACCAUUUUCAUCAAUGGAGUAUUCUGAGCUUAACUUAUCUUGAACCAUCUGUCGCUUUAUCAUCAAUUUUGGGUCAUCAUCCUAUAACUCCCGAAUCCGUUGAAAGAACACGGGUUUAGCCUUUAAUUCUGCUAGUACAGAACCAUCCUCAUUAAUAGAUAAAUGAGCAUUCAAUGCCCGUAGUGCAAAUAAUGAUGAUUUCCGACUAAGCGCAUCUGCUGCGGCAUUUGCUUUCCCUGGGUGAUAGUCAAUGACAAGAUCAUAAUCUUUCAGCAACCCCAACCAUCGUCUCUGUGUCAAAUUUAACUCUUUCUGAGUCAUUAAAUACUUCAAGCUUUUAUGAUCAGUAUACACGUAACAUUUCUCACCAUAUAAGUACUCUCCAUAUCUUCAAAGCAAACACGAUCGCUGCCAAUUCCAAAUCAUGUGUAGGAUAAUUCUUGUCGUGCGGUUUCAGUUGCCAAGAAGCAUAUGCCACCACUUUGCCUGACUGAAUAAGUACACAGCCCAACCCAUUUACAGAUGCAUCACUAUAUACUACAAACGGUACACCCGAUUCUGGUUGAGUCAACACUGGAGCCUCUGUCAACAUCUUUUUCAACUGAUCGAAACUCCGCUGACAUUCAUCUAACCAUAUAAAUUCAACAUUCUUUUGUAGCAAUCGAGUUAACGGUAAGGUAAUCAUUGAGAAAUCUUUGACAAAUCGACGAUAAUAACCUGCCAAUCGUAGAAAACUCUGCACUUCAGUCACAUUCUUCGGAACUUUCCAAUUUAUCACUGCCGCUACCUUACUUGGAUCCACUCUUAUUCCAUCAGCUGAUACAAUAUGACCCAAAAAUGCAACUUCAUGGAGCCAAAAUUCACAUUUGCUGAAUUUGGCAUACAAUUGUUUCUCCCACAAAGUCUGUAAUACAAUCAUUAGAUGUUGUGCAUGUUCGGACUCUGUCUUUGAAUAAAUCAAUAUAUCGUCAAUGAACACAACCACAAAUCUAUCCAAAUAUGACUGAAAAAUUCUAUUCAUCAAAUCCAUAAAAGCAGCAGGGGCAUUGGUUAAACCAAAUGGCAUCACCAAAAAUUCAAAAUGACCAUAUCGAGUUCGAAAGGCAGUUUUCGGCACUUCACACUCUUUAACUUUCAACUGAUAAUACUCGGAUCGAAGAUCUAUCAUGGAAAAUACUGUAGCACCUUUCAACUGAUCAAACAAAUCAUCAAUAUGAGGCAAAGGAUUUUUAUUCUUUACUGUUACCUUAUUCAACUGUCUGUAAUCUAUACACAGUCUUAAAAAACCGUCCUUCAUUUUCACAAACAAGACAGGUGUACCCCAGGGCGACAUACUCGGUCUGAUGAACCCUUUAUCUAAUAACUCCUGCAGCUGCGCCUUCCGUUCUUUUAACUCGACUGGAGCCAUUCUGUAUGGUGUCAUUGAGAUAGGAGUUGUUCCGGGGAUCACAUCAAUUACAAAUUCAACUUCUCUAUCAGGUGGUAGACCGGGUAACUCUUCAGGGAACAUAUCAGGGAAUUCAUUCACCAUUGGCACUUGUUCGAGCUUCAAACCAGAACCCUGAGUAUCCAGGAUAUAGGCCAAGAAUGCUUCGUUGCCUUUGUGUAAUAACCUCUGAGCAGAGAGAGCUAAAAUAAUUCUGACUGUAUCACCCAGAUUUUCAGACCCAACUGAGAUUAUAUCUCCCGUUUGACAUUUCAAACUGAUUUGUUUAUCACGAUAAUUCACUACCGCAUCAUGUCUCAUUAACCAGUCCAUCCCCAGAAUAAUGUCAAAUUCCCGAAAAGGUAACAACAUCAAAUCAGCGAGGAAUUCAUAGCCUUUCACUUUCAGUGGACAAUUACGACAUAUCAAAUUAACCAUCACACUUUGACCUAAUGGGUUUGUGACUUGUAUAUCAAAUUCAGUGGACUCAACAGAUAAUUUCUUUUUAGAUGCUAACAUAGUGCAAAUAUAUGAAUGAGUAGAUCCAGGGUCUAUCAAUGCAUAAACAAUAACAUCAUAAAGAUAGAAAGUACCAGCAAUUACAUCAGGAGCCGUAGCCUCUUUCCUUGCUCGAAUGGCGUAGGUACGUGCUGGUGCUCUAUUCUCUGAUCGACCAACUGAUUCCCUCGUACCCGAACGGGUAGUCCCUGUAGCACUGCUCUGGCCCGAACGUCUACUUUUUUGGGGAAUGGUUCUCUGUAUUUCUUUCUGUUCCACUUCAUCUUUUUACAGUCGGGAACAAUCUCGAAUAAGAUGAUUAGUACCCUCACAUUUUUAACAAGCCCCUAUCUUGGUCCUGCAUUCUCUGAAAUGAUAUCUUCCACAAUAUUGACACUUAGGCCGGGGAGCAUUCUGAACACUGCUCACACUUGCUGGAGGUCUAUCGAAUACCCUGAAAUCAGAUUGUCUUGGUCUAUCUCUACCCGAUCUUCUCGACAGUGAUGUAGUUCGACUAAUUUCUUCUCUAGAUUUGUUCACUGGUAAAUCUAAAAAUGACUUAGAAGCACCUCUUUUGAAUGGCUCUUUACUUUUUCGAUCCCGCUACAUUUUUCUGUUGUAUACUUCUUCGAGCUUUUGAGCACGGUCUGACAGAACAGGGAACUCUCGUAUUUCAUUACCCCCAAUCAUCAUUCUAAUUUCAUCAUUUAACCCUUCUUCAAACCUGAUACACAUUUCUUCUUUAAUAAGUACAAUGUCUCGGGCAUAUUUGCUGAGGUAGACAAAUUCUCUUUCGUAUUCAGCCACUGAUUUAUCUCCCUGGCGUAGGUCGAGAAAUUCCCUUUUAUUUUUAUCCAAAUACCGUCUGCCCACAUAUUUCUUCUUAAAUUCAUUUUGGAAAAAUUCCCAAUAAAUUUUCUCUGUCGGAACCACAUCCUCAAUCGUCUCCCACCAACUAUAAGCUUCUUCUUUCAAUAGAGACACAACACAACUCAAAUAAUCAUCUAGUGAGCAAACCAUUUCUUUAAAAAUUCUUAUUAAACUCUGUAACCAAUAUUCAGCUUUGACGGGAUCUUUAUCAGUCCUUCCCCGAAAUUCUUCGGCUCCAAGUUUUUUAAGCCUUUCCAAUGGAGAACGCUUUCUGGAUUCAGUCGUUGUAAAAGGUGGAGGAGCAACCGGGUGUGCCACCGAUGGAGCAGUAGGGGGAGGAGGUGGUUCAGCCUGAUUUCUUUCUUGCCUCAUUUCAGUAUAUCAUUGAUUCAUAAUCCCAUAAAUCAUAUUCUUUAACUCUUGCUCUCGCAUUUGGGAGAUCGGAACAUCACUGCUUGUUCUUUGUUUAGAAUUAUGUAUUCUACUAUUAACUUCUUCUUUCUCAGUACGUUUAGGUAUAUCUGACAUCUCCAUAACCGGAGAAUAUCUACUAUUAACUUCUUCUUACUGGAUUCAGUCGUUGUAAGAGGUGGAGAAGCAACCGGGGGUACCACCGAUGGAGCAGUAGGCAGAGGAGGUGGUUCAGCCUGAUUUCUUUCUUGCCUCAUUUCAGUAUACCACUGAUUCAUAAUCCCAUAAAUCAUAUUCUUUAACUCUUGCUCCCGUAUUUGGGAGAUCAGAACACCACUGCUUGUUCUUUGUUCAGAAUUAUGUAUUCUACUAUUAACUUCUUCUUGCUCAGUACGUUCAGGUAUAUCUGACAUCUCUAUAACCGGAGAAUAUCUAUAAAAAUAACAAAGAUUAGAUCGCAUCAUACGCAUUACACUAUCACAGAUUUAUAUGGCAUGUAUUUCUAAACACUUUACACUUUACACAUAUUCCGAGAACCGGCUAAACCUGGAUCUGAUACCAAUAAAAUGUAACACCCUUUACCUGAGACCGUUUCCAGAGUCGAGCAUGAGGCGUUACUUGACUUAACUUAAAAGUUCAGGGCAUAAAAAAUUACUUUCAAAAUUAAUUUCACCAUUCACAAUAAAGCUGUCCACCCACGCAGCAAUCUCUAAAUUAAUUAUAACUCAAGAUGCGAAACUCGAAAUUUAGAUCUGUAUAUUUUACCUAAAACUAGACUCAUAUAUCUAUUCACUACAAAAUUUUCAGACUUUUUGGUUUGGCAAAUUAGUACAGUUUAUUAAUUGAAGUCUCCCCUGUUUCACUAAUAGACUAUCCUGACCUCUCGUCACUAAAAUUCAAUUAUCUCAUUAUACAAACUUGACUUGGUGCUUUCAAUUAUUUUUACUUAAAAUAGACUCAUUAAGGAAUUUAAACAUAUAAUUUAUAACUCAUAAUUCAUUUUGUACAAUUUUUAAUGAAUUUCUAAAGUCAAAAUAGGGGACUUCAAAAUCAUUCUGACUCUGUCUCACUAAAAUUCAAAUAUCUAAAAGUAUAUAACUCUUUUGCUUACUCUAUUGCUUUAAUGUGAAAGUAGGCUCAUUCAGCUUUAAUUUCAUCUCUCACUCAACUUAUAAUUCUAAGUCCACAUUUUUGGUGAUUUUUCAAAGUUACAUCAAUACUGCUGUCCAAAAACUGUUCCAUUGAAAUUUUUUUAAAAAAUUUCAAUAUAACCCUUUUAUAAUUAUCUAACCUUCCCUGCAAAUUUUAAAUCACAACCAAUUUCAGUAUUUCAACCACUUCACUUAAAUACUAAUGAAGUUCAACCAAUCAACCAUUUCAAACUAAAAACAUGCAUAGUUCAAUGUCUAACACAACCAUCACAUUCAAAUUUACUUUGCAUAUUUAGAUAUUCAUUCUUUUACUUUUUACUUCAAUUCCCUAUACAUGUCAUAUAAAUCCAAAAAGUUGUUUAACAAAAUCUACCGGAGUAAAUCUUGAUAGUGUGAUUCUUGGUGUAGAUCCGAUCCUCUGAAUGUAUAAAUACGUCAAUCUACAAGAAUCAAUAAACGCACAAGUAGGCUUAAUAAACACACAAGUAAGCUUAUAGAAAGCUUAGUAAGUUCAUAGGCACCAAACAUAAAACUUACCAAACAUUUAUACACUUAUACAUUAUACACCAUUACUAAGUUUACCUGUCAACCACAUUCUUUGGUGAGUUCCUUGGUAUAAACUCACUAAUACUUAUUCUUUUACCAUAAUUCCUUUGGGCCCAUUUGUCACUUACCAUCCUUGAUCAAAAUUAAGGAACGGUUACGGAAAAUUGAGUACUUCACUUUCACUUUGCCAUAGUAUAAAUAUGGUCUUACGUAUGAUCACUUAUCACUUGUCCUUGAUCAGGUUAGUGUAGCUAGGCUACCACUUAUCACUUGUUCCUGAUCAGAUAAGUGUAGCUAAGCUAUCACUUGUCACUUUGUCACUUGAUCAAAAGUACUCAAAUCCGGUGUUCCGCUCAAUUUGAUCACUUAUUCAGUUUGCGCAUUUUUAUUUUAUUCUCAUUUCAUCAAUAAAUAUAUAUAUAUAUUUCACCAUACAUUAUAUAAUUCAUGAAAUUAACAUUUAAUCAUUAAAUUUCAUCCAUAUGAACUUACCUAGGUCGAUUUUCUGAAUUUGUAAAAGUUCAAGGACUAAUCAGCUACUUUUUCUUUUCCUCGACUUGUUUCGGGUUCUCGAUAUGAUUCAAAUAUAUGAAAAACUAGCUUGGAGGGACUCUUCAAUGGCGUUUUUUGCUGAGAAAUAUGAUGAAUUGCCUAGAAACUCUUUUAGUUAAGAUUUUUAUUUGUUAACUUUUACAAAAUUUCUAAUUUUGCCCUUAUUACAUCACUUUUUCAGAUUUUUCUUCUCUUAUGCCGUCUCAACUAUUCCAUAUUAGCAUAUUUAUGCCUUAAGUCCCUCCUUAUUUACCACUUAAGCUGUUUAAUCACUUUUAACAAAUUUUACAUUAUUUUCAGUUUAGUCAUUUUUAAUUAAUUAACCACCAAAACGUUAGAAUUUUCUAACGAAACUUUAAUACCAACUCAAUGACACUCUAUAAAUGUUUCUAAAAAUAUUUAUGGCUCGAUUGAUGAGUUUGAGGUUUCGAUACCUCAUUUUCGACUCUAAUUAUUUUAAUAUUUAUUCUUAGUACACUAUUCACUAUUUCAAAAAUUUUCCUAACUUCGCAUUUAACUUAUACUCACUAAAUUAAUAAUAUUUUCUACUCAUUUGUCAAAUUUAAUGAUCUCGAAUUACCAUUCCGACACCACUGAAAAUUCAGGCCAUUACAACUCUCCCCCCAUUUUGGAAAUUUCGUCCCCGAAAUUUCGUACCUGAAAAUAAAUUCGAAUACUGAAAUCUCAUCAAUUCCUCUGUUUCCCAGGUUGCCUCCUCAGAUCCAUGUCGAUUCCAUAACACCUUAACUAGUGGUACAUGUUUAUUCCUCAACUCUUUAACAUCCCAAGCUAAAAUUUUCACCGGUUCCUCUGAAUAAGUCAUGUCAGGUUGAAGCUCUAUUUCCGUAUGAGGAAUUACAUGUGAUGGAUCUGAUUUGUACCGUCUCAACAUAGACACAUGAAACACAUUAUGAAUCUUUGCAAGUUCCGGGGGCAAAGCUAAUCUAUAGGUUACCAGACCGAUUCUUUCAAUGAUUUCAUACGGCCCGAUAAAUCGUGGGCUGAGUUUUCCCUUUUUGCUGAACCGCAAAACUUUCUUCCACGGUGACAGUUUCAAAAAUACACGAUCACCCACAUUAAACUCUCUAUCCCUUCUCUUCAAAUCUGCAUAUGAUUUUUGCUGAUCGGAGGCAGCUUUUAAGCAAUCUCGAAUAAUACGAACUUUUUCUUCAGUUUCCUGAGUCAAUUCCACUUCCACCAGUUUCAAUUCACUUAAUUUAGACCAAUAUAAUGAAGUUCUACACUUUCUUCCAUACAAAGCUUCAAACGGUGCCAUUUUAAUGCUAGUUUGAUAACUAUUAUUAUAAGCAAAUUCGGCUAAAGGUAAAUACCUUUCCCAGCUACCGCCGAACUCAAGUAUACAACACCUUAACAUAUCUUCUAAAAUCUGAAUCACUCGCUCUGACUGCCCAUCUGUCUGGGGAUGAAAAGCUGUGUUGAAAUUUAAUUUGGUGCCUAAAGCUUCCUGUAAUUUACUCUAAAAUCUCGAGGUAAAUCUCGGAUCUCGAUCUGAAAUAAUAGAUGUCGGUACCCCAUGUAACCUCACUAUCUCAGACACAUAUAACUCCGCUAACUUUUCAAGCUGAUAAUCUGCUCUGACUGGAAUAAAAUGUGCUGAUUUAGUUAACCGAUCAACAAUCACCCAUAUCGAAUCUUUCUUCUUCGAAGUUACUGGUAAUCCGGAUACAAAAUCCAUCGCAACAUGUUCCUAUUUCCACUCUGGAAUCAUAAUGGGCUGUAACAACCCUGUCGGCACUUGAUGCUCAGCUUUCACCUGUUGGCAGAUCAAACAUCUUGCUACAUACUCACAGAUUUCCCAUUUAAUUCCGGGCCACCAAUACAUUUUCUUCAAAUCACAAUACAUUUUUGUACUAACCCGGUGAAUAGAACACAUACUACUGUGAGCCUCUGAUAAAAUAUCAUUUUUCAAGUUUAAAUUAUUCGGAAUACAUAUUCUAUUACGAUAAUAUAACAUACCAUUUUCAUCAAUGGAGUAUUCUGAGCUUAACUUAUCUUGAACCAUCUGUCGUUUUAUCAUCAAUUUUGGGUCAUCAUCCUGUAACUCUUGAAUCCAUUGAAAGAACACGGGUUUAGCCUUUAAUUCUGCUAGUACAGAACCAUCCUCAUUAAUAGAUAAAUGAGCAUUCAAUGCCCGUAGUGCAAAUAAUGAUGAUUUCUGACUAAGUGCAUCUGCUGCGGCAUUUGCUUUCCCUGGGUGAUAGUCAAUGACAAGAUAAUAAUCUUUCUGCAACUCUAACCAUCGUCUCUAUCUCAAAUUUAACUCUUUCUGAGUCAUUAAAUACUUUAAGCUUUUAUGAUCAGUAUACACGUAACAUUUCUCACCAUAUAAGUAGUGUCUCCUUAUCUUCAAAGCAAACACGAUCGCUGCCAAUUCAAAAUCAUGUGUAGGAUAAUUCUUGUCGUGCGGUUUCAGUUGCCGAGAAGCAUAUGCCACCACUUUGCCUGACUGAAUAAGUACACAGCCCAACCCAUUUACAGAUGCAUCACUAUAUACUACAAAUGGUACACCCGAUUCUGGUUGAGUCAACAUUGGAGCCUCUGUCAACAUCUUUUUCAACUGAUCAAAACUCCGCUGACAUUUAUCUGACCAUAUAAAUUCAACAUUCUUUUGUAGAAAUCGAGUCAACUGUAAGGUAAUCAUUGAGAAAUCUUUGAUAAAUCGACAAUAAUAACAUGCCAAUCGUAGAAAACUCCACACUUCAAUAACAUUCUUCGGAACUUUCCAAUUUACCAUUGCCGCUACCUUACUUGGAUCGACUCUUAUUCCAUCAGCUGAUACAAUAUGACCCAAAAAUGCAACUUCAUGGAGCCAAAAUUCUCAUUUGCUAAAUUUGGCAUACAAUUGUUUCUCUCACAAAGUCUGUAAUACAAUCCUUAGAUGUUGUGCAUGUUCGGACUCUGUCUUUGAAUAAAUCAAUAUAUCGUCAAUGAACAACCACAAAUCUAUCCAAUUAUGACUGAAAAAUUCUAUUCAUCAAAUCCAUAAAAGCAGCAAGGGCAUUGGUUAAACCAAAUGGCAUCACCAAAAAUUCAUAAUGACCAUAUCGAGUUUGGAAGGCAGUUUUCGGCACAUCACACUCUUUAACUUUCAACUGAUAAUACCCAGAUUGAAGAUCUAUCUUGGAAAAUAUUGCAGCACCUUUCAACUGAUCAAAUAAAUCAUCAAUAUGAGGCAAAGGAUAUUUAUUCUUUACUGUUACCUUAUUCAACUGCCUGUAAUCUAUACACAGUCUUAGAGAACCGUCCUUUUUUUUCACAAACAAGACAGGUGCACCCCAGGGCGACAUACUCAGUCUGAUGAACCAUUUCUCUAAUAACUCCUGUAACUGCGCCUUCAACUCUUUUAACUCGGCUGGAGCCAUUCUGUACGGUGUCAUUGAGAUAGGAGUUGUUCCGGCGAUCACAUCAAUUACAAAUUCAACUUCUUUAUCAGGUGGUAGACCGGGUAACUCUUCAGGGAACACAUUAGGGAAUUCAUUCACUACUGGCACUUGUUUGAGCUUCAAACCAGAACCCUGAGUAUCCAUGAUAUAGGCCAAGAAUGCUUCGUUGCCUUUGCGUAAUAACCUCUGAGCAGGGAGAGCUGAAAUAAUUCUGACUGUAUCACCCAUAUUUUCAGACCCAACUGAGAUUAUAUCUCCCGUUUGACAUUUCAAAUUGAUCUGUUUAUCACGACAAUUCACUACCGCAUCAUGUCUCACUAACCAGACCAUCCCAAGAAUAAUGUCAAAUUCUCGAAAAGGUAACAACAUCAAAUCAGCGGGGAAUUCAUAGCCUUUCACUUUUAAUGGACAAUUACGACAUAUCAAAUUAACCAUCACACUUUGACCUAAUGGGUUUGUGACUUGUAUAUCAAAUUCAAUGGACUUAACAAAUAAUUUCUUUUCAGAUGCUAACAUAGUGCAAAUAUAUGAAUGAGUAGAUCUAGGGUCUAUCAAUGCAUAAACAAUAACAUCAUAAAGAUAGAAAGUACCAACAAUUACAUCAGGAGCCGUAGCCUCUUCCCUUGCUCGAAUGGCGUAGGUACGUGCUGGUGCUCUAUUCUUUGAUCGACCAACUGAUUCCCUCGUACCCGAACGGGUAGUCCCUGUAGCACUGCUCUGGCCCGAAUGUCUACUUCUUUGGGGAAUGGUUCUCUGUAUCUCUUUCUGUUCCACUUCAUCUUUUUACAGUCGGGGACAAUCUCGAAUAAGAUGAUUAGUAGCCCUACAUUUUUAACAAGCCCCCAUCUUGGUCCUGCAUUCUCCGAAAUGAUAUCUUCCACAAUAUUGACACUUAGGCCGGGGAGCAUUCUGAACACCGCUCACACUUGCUGCAGGUCUAUCGAAUACCCUGAAAUCAGAUUGUCUUGGUCUAUCUCUACCCGAUCUUCCCAACAUUAAUGUAGUUCGACUAAUUUCUUCUCUAGAUUUCUUCACUGGCAAAUCUAAAAAUGACUUAGAAGCACCUCUUUUGAAUGGCUCUUUACUUUUUCGAUCCCGCUGCAUUUUUCUGUUGUAUACUUCUUCGAGCUUUUGAGCACGGUCUGACAGAACAACGAACUCUCGUAUUUCAUUACCCCCAAUCAUCAUUCUAAUUUCAUCAUUUAACCCUUCUUCAAACCUGAUACACAUUUCUUCUUUAGUAGGUACAAUGUCUCGGGCAUAUUUGCUGAGGUAAACAAAUUCUCUUUCGUAUUCAGCCACUGAUUUAUUUCCCUGGCGUAGGUCGAGAAAUUCCCUUUUAUUUUUAUCCAAAUACCGUCUGCCCACAUAUUUCUUCUUAAAUUCAUUUUGGAAAAAUUCCCAAUAAAUUUUCUCUGCUGGAACCACAGCCUCAAUCGUCUCCCACCAACUAUAAGCUUCUUCUUUCAAUAGGGACACAGCACAUCUCAAAUAAUCAUCUGGUGAGCAAACCAUUUCUUUAAAAAUUCUUAUCAAACUUUGUAACCAAUAUUCAGCUUUGACGGGAUCUUCAUUAGUCCUUCCUGAAAUUCUUCGGCUCCAAGUUUUUUAAGCUUUUCCAAUAGAGAACGCUUACUAGAUUCAGUCGUUGUAGGAGGUGGAGGAGUAACCGGGGGUACCAUCGAUGGAGCAGUAGGGGGAGGAGGUGGUUCAGCAUGAUUUCUUUCUUGCCUCAUUUCAAUAUACCACUGAUUCAUAAUCUCAUAAAUCAUAUUCUUUAAUUCUUGCUCUCGCAUUUGGGAGAUCGGAACAUCACUGCUUGUUCUUUGUUCAGAAUUAUGUAUUCUACUAUUAACUUAUUCUUACUUAGUUCGUUCAGGUAUAUCUGACAUCUUUAUAACUGGAGAAUAUCUAUAAAAAUAACAAAGAUUAGAUCGGAUCAUACGCAUCACACUAUCACAGAUUUAUAUGGCAUGUAUUUCUAAACACUUUACACUUCACACAUAUUCCGAGAACCGGCUAAACCGGGAUCUGAUACCAAUAAAAUAUAACACCCUUUACCCAAGACCGUUGCCCGAGUCGAGCAUGAGGCGUUACUUGACUUAACUUAAAAGUUCAGGGCAUAAAAAUUUACUUUCAAAAUUAAUUUCACCAUUCACAAUAAAGCUGUCCACCUGCGCAGGAGUCACUAAAUCAAUUAUAACUCAAGCUACGAAACUCAAAAUUUAGAUCCGUAAAUUUUCCCUAAAACUAGACUCAUAUAAAUAUUCACCAUAAAUUUUUAAGAAUUUUUAGUUUAUCCAAUUAGUAUAGUUUAUUAGUUUAAGUCUCCCUUGUUUCACUAAUAGACUACCCUGACCUCUCGUCACUAAAAUUCAAUUAUCUCCUUAUACAGACUUGACAUGGUGCUUCCAAUUAUUUUUACUUAAAAUAUACUCAUUAAGGAAUUUAAAAAUAUAAUUUAUAACUCAUAAUUACUUUUUUACAAUUUUUAUUGAAUUUCUAAAUUCAGAACAGGGGACUUCAAAAUCAUUCUGACCCUGUCUCACUAAAAUUCAAAUAUCUAAAAGUAUAUAACUCUUUUGCUUACUCUAUUGCUUUCAUGUGAAAGUAUACUCAUUCAGAUUUAAUUUCAUAUCUCACUUAACUUAUAAUUCUAUUUCCACUAUUUUUGGUGAUUUUUCACAGUUACAUCAAUGCUGCUGUCCAAAAACUGUUCCAUUGAAAUUUUUAAAAAAAAUUCAAUAUAACCCCUUUAUAAUUAUCUAACCUUCCCUGCAAAUUUCAAAUCACAACCAAUUUCAGUAUUUCACCUACUUCACUUAAAUACUAAUGAAGUUCAACCAAUCAACCAUUUCAAACUAAAAACAUGUAUAGUUCAAUGUCUAACACAACCAUCAUAUUCAAAUUUACUUUGCAUACUUAGUCAUUCAUUCUAUUACUUUUUACUUCAAUUCCCUAUACAUGCCAUAUAAAUCCAAAAAGUUGUUUAACAAAAUCUACCAGAGUAAAUCUAGAUAGUGUGAUUCUUGGUGUAGAUCCGAUCCUCCGAAUGUAUAAAUACGUCAAUCUACAAGAAUCAAUAAACACAUAAUUAAGCUUAUAGAAAGCUUAGUAAGUUCAUAGGCACCAAACAUAAAUCUUACCAAACAUUUAUACACUUAUACAUUAUACACCAUUACUAAGUUUACCUGUCAACCACAAUCUUUGGUGAGUUCCUUGUUAUAAACUCACUACUACUUAUUCUUUUACCAUAAUUCCUUUGGGCCCAUUUGUCACUUACCAUCCUUGAUCAAAAUUAAGGAACGGUUACGGAAAAUUGAGUACUUCACUUUCACUUUGCCAUAGUAUAACUAUGGUCUUACAUAUGAUCACUUAUCACUUGUCCUUGAUAAGAUAAGUGUAGCUAGGCUACCACUUAUCACUUUGUCACUUGAUCAGAUAAUUGUAGCUAAAGCUACCACUUAUCACUUUAUCACCACUUAUCACUUGUUCCUGAUCAGAUAAGUGUAGCUAAAACUACCACUUAUCACUUUGUCACCACUUAUCACUUGUUCCUGAUCAGAUAAGUGUAGCUAAAGCUACCACUUAUCACUUUGUCACUUGAUCAGAUAAGUGUAGCUAAGCUAUCACUUAUCACUUUGUCACUUGAUCAGAAGUACUCAAAUUCGGUGUUCCGCUCAAUUUGAUCAUUUAUUCAGUUUUCACAUUUUUAUUUUAUUCUCAUUUCAUCAAUAAAUAUAUAUAUUUCAGCAUACAUUAUAUAAUUCAUGAAAUUAACAUUUAAUCAUUAAAUUUCAGCCAUAUGAACUUACCUGGGUCGAUUUAUUGAAUUUGUAAAAGUUCAGGGACUAAUCAGCUACUUUUUCUUUUCCUCGACUUGUUUCGGGUUCUCAAUAUGAUUCAAAUAUAUGAAAAACCAGCUUGGAUGGACUCUUCAAUGGCGUUUUUUGCUGAGAAAUAUGAUGAAUUGCCUAGAAACUCUUUUAGUUAAGAUUUUUAUUUGUUAACUUUUACAAAAUUUCCAAUUUUGCCCUUAUUACAUCACUUUUUCAGAUUUUUCUUCUCUUAUGCCGUCUCAACUAUUCCAUAUUAGCAUAUUUAUGCCUUAAGUCCCUCCUUAUUUGCCACUUAAGCUGUUUAAUCACUUUUAACAAAUUUUACAUUAUUUUCAGUUUAGUCCUUUUUAAUUAAUUAACCACCCAAACGUUAGAAUUUUCUAACGAAACUUUAAUAUCAAUUCAAUGACACUCUAUAAAUGUUUCUAAAAAUAUUUAUGGCUCGAUUGAUGAGUUUGAGGUUUCGAUACCUCAUUUUUUAUUCUAAUUAUUUUAAUAUUUAUUCUUAGUAUACUAUUCACUAUUUUAAAAAUUUUCCUAACUUCGCAUUUAACUUAUACUCACUAAAUUAAUAAUAUUUUCUACUCAUUUGUCAGAUUUAGUGAUCUAGAAUUACCAUUCCGACACCACCGAAAAUUCAGGCCAUUACAUUAUGUUUAUUGACUCAUUUUUUCUGUUGACUGAAUUUCAGGUAACUCAUCGACUUAGGCGGGUCGGCAUGGCGAGAGCUCGGUCAUCCUUAUUUAGUAAUUUUCUGUUUAAAUUAAACUUAUGCUAUAGUUGUUUUAUCUUGAAUUACAGAUUGCAAAUUUAUAUUUCUACACUAGUUCAACUAUUUAAACAUUUUCUGACAAUUAAACUUUAAUUAGUUAAAAGUGAGAAUUUCUUAAAUGAUUUGUUGUAGCUUUCCAAGCUUGGUCCUAACAUCUAGGUCGGGUUUGGGGUGUUACAACCCAAAACCCCCAAACUUUCCCCUCAAAACUUUUACUCCCCCACCCUUUCUCUUUCUCGCUCACCCUCCCAAACCCUUUUACUUUUCCCCCAAAACUUUUACUUCCCACUUUUACCCCCAAAUCAAAAAUCAAAAUCCUCCCAAAAAAAUCCUUAAACCUAAAUAGUAAUAAUUUUAUUUAUGGCCACUAUUUAUAUUAUAAAUUAAAUUUCACAUUUUCUAUUAUUUAUAUUAUUAAAUUGUUUAAUCAUUUUGAAUCUUUAUCAAUUUCUGUUAAAACUGUAUCAUUGAUGAUGUCAUACAUUAUUUGUGUUAAAAAUUUCUAUUGGUAUCAAUUUCACAUUUUAUCUUUAAAAUAAAUUUUAUUAAAAAAAUUACUUUUUUACAUUUAAUAUAUUUUUUAAUUUCAAAAUAUAUGGUGACAAGAAUUAGAAGAUAAUUGAAGCAACUAAGCAAGUAAAAAAGCUAACAUGUAUAUAAAAGAUUAAAUAAAUUAUGAAGGGAUGAAAGUUAAUAACACAUUUGAUUACGGUGGACAAAUUUGAUAAUGAUGGGUGACAGUGGCUACAAGGAUCCAAAGUAAUUUUUUCAAUUAACUGGAAACAAAUAUAUUCGAUUCGAUUCGAUAAAAUUUGAAAUCAUUUUAGGAUGAUAAAAUAAGAUUCGUCAACUCGAUUAACUCGAAGUUUUUUCAUUUGAUUCGAUUAGACGCUCACCCCUACAAAGUAUGACCGAUUGGUCUGAUUCUGAAAAAAAUUGGUUUUGAUCAAUGAAAGAACUUUUACGAUGGCGACAGGUCUAACAAACAGGUGAUAUUUUGAAAAGAAAAUUAAUCUCCAUAGUCUCAACCUUAGGAGGGUGAAUUUUGAGCAUUGCAUUUGUUGUCAUUGUUAGACAUUAUAAAGGAAGAAAAAAGAAAGAAAAAAGUUAAAAUGAGGGAAAUUAUUGAAAAAAAGAGAGAAGAGAAUAAUUAAUUUUUUUUAAAAUUUUACAUGUCAAUCUAUUAUUGAUUAGAUUUUUUUAAUGAGUGUAACAUUUUGGUGUUAAAUGGAUAAUAAAAAAAUAUUUUAAGUAUCAUUUAUGAUAAAAAUAUUUAGGUAUCAAUUUGAAAAAAAUAUGUAGCUUAGAUACUAAUUGAUGGGUUAAUUUUUUUAGCUUAAUAAUUUGAUUAAACCGAAAUACCAACUGAAAAAAAGUUUACUCGCCGCUUAUGAAAAAAAAUAAGUAUGAAUUUGUAAGUUAAAUCUCCCUAAAAGAAAAAAUAUAUCACAUUCAAUACGGGGUGAAUGAAGCAAUGAAUGCAAUGGGGUAUUACAACCAGCCACAUGUCAUUCAAUUCAUGUUAUAUCUACCUUGUUGGCCCCACAGGCGGUCUUUUCCAUUAUUUUCGAAGUGAACGACAUGAGUCGGACCUAUAUCGGCCCCAACAAACAACCUCAACCACUUGUUUUGUUAGGUUGUUGACUAAUUUGAAUAUGUCGGCUCAAAGCUUUUUGAAAAUUAAAUUAUUUUUUAUAUUAAUAUCAUAUAGGUAUAAAAAUUUAACGUUUUGUAAAAAAAAUAAAUUUAGUGUUAAAUUUAAAUAAUUAUAAAAAAUUAUACAAAAUACAAAGACAACUUAGAGUCAAUAAAAAAAAUAUGGAAAAUCAAUUCAUACAUGAAAUGGCAUAAAAAUAUUAUGAACACUAUACAAAUAUAUGAAUGUUUUUAUAUCUAUAUAAAAUAAGUUAUUAACGCUUAAAUUUCAACCAAUUAAAUAUUAAUUUAACUAUAAACUAUAAAAAAUUAAAAUUUCAUUUACCCUAAACAAUUAUUCUAAUUUCGCCCCUGUAUAAAAUAGUUGUAAUAUUAAAAAAAAAGUUAUACGAAUAUGGAGUGUUAAAAAAAAAGGCUUUCAACUUUUAAUAUUCCAAACAAAUAAAAGAAAUAAUAAUAACAGUUUACAAGUGCAAUAAAAGUAAUACAUAUUUGAUGAAUUAAAAAUAGAAUAAAUAUAACUAACUAUAACAGAAAUAUAUUUAGAUUUAAACCAAAUUUUUUUGAAGAUGAAAUUUGAACUCACAAAUAAUAUUUAUAAAUGAUGAUAUGUUUUAGAACAUGUAUAUUUUAAUUUCAUUUGAUAUUUAAAUUAAAUGAAUGAAAUGAGUAUAUUAGCAUAAAUAUAUUGAAUUUCUAGAUUUAUUAAAAAUCCAACUAAAUAGAGUAGAUCCAUAAAUUUAAAAAAUGAUUAUGGAUUUUGAAAUAUAAAUCUAAAAUUUAAAAUCUGAAACCCUCCUAAAUGUUUUCCAAAGUAAGGCGGGGAUAAAUGGUAUAGGGAAGACGGUGGGUAGAUAGAUGUACGGUUUAUUUAUAACUUCGUUUUUAUUAGUCGGCUUACAGUUUCAUAAAAAGCAUCCGUGCAAGGCAUGUUCAAAUGCUGCACUAGCAUACCACUACUAUAAAAAAAACACAUACAAGAGCACCACAAAUUUAUCCCAAAAUACAUUAAAUAAAUGACUCCUAAGGGUGCCAGAUUUAACUAGUGUGUCUGGGAUUGUAUUAGCCUCUCUGAGGCCAUGUGAAAAAAUUUAAUGUUAUUGUUAUAUUUCCAUCUCGAUACGUUGCAAGACAUGAAGCAAUCUGUAAACAACUCUCUUUUGGAAGCAGUUUGCAUACGACUCUUCGCUAAGAACCAUUUGUUGUGAUCUUUCGCUUAGGAUUGCUCACAAAUGACCCCCAUGCACCCUAUCUCUCUCCCUCCUUAACUCAUCAUCUUGAACUCUCAUCCUAUUAUAGGUGAAUCGAGACUCUUCUCCUCCACCCUUUCCUCGUUGGUUACUUGUAGCAAAAAAAAUUAAUUUCACCGAAAAUGUUGGAGAGAUCCCAUGGUCUAAGUGUGUUGUUAGAGCAAAGCUCGAUGGCAAAUUUGGAGUCAAAUUUUAGAAUCAACCCUUUAAAAUCCAUUACACCGUAAAGGAAAAUUUUUACAAUUACAUUAACAAUAAAUAUUCAAAAUUUACUCAUCUAUCUAUACUUAUAUUAAGCCUUAUUUGAGUUGGAGUCAAGAGUCAACUAGGUACUAACUCAGUUGAGAAUUUACUAAAUAAUUUUAAUAUAAAGUAAAAAAAAUAUUAAUACGAGGGUGUUUUUAUCUUUUCAUAUUUUUAAAUAAAAAUACUAUAAUAAGAUUUAAACUUAAGUUUAAAAUUUCAAUCAAAACAUCACUUAAAUUUAAAAUAACAUUUUUAUAUAAAAUGUGUUUAGAUUCUAAGAUAAUGAAAUUUAUGAUGAGGUAUUCAAAAUGUGUUUGAAUAUGCUAAUGAGAUAUUCAAAUUGGUAUGCACAUUCCUAAUCAGGGAGCAUUAAUGAUAAUUUAGUAAAAUAAAUUAUCUCAUUAGCAUAUAGUUUAUUAUAAAAUUAUUGUGUAAAAUAAACAAUUCACAAACUUAAGAAUUUAUAACACAAAAAUUAUACAUCAAUGUUGUUAGAAUUGUAUUAUAUCCAUCGGUUGAAUUUAAAUUUAAAAAUUUAAUCAGCGAUAAUAAUUAAAAUCGUUUCAAACUAGUAAAAUAUUGAAAAUUAAGAACUAAUAAAAUAGAUUCUAAUUAUUUUUAUUUAAAAAAUGUUACCUUCUUAUUCAGGUUACAUUAAGACAAACCCAUCUUAAUUAUAAGUAUCAUAUUGUGAAUGGUAAACUUCUUACACAACAUCCACCAUUUGUCCAAAUAUGUUAAAUUAGGUGCAACAUAGAAAUUUUAUUGUAAGGAGUGAAUCUCAUUGUUUUUAUUUUCAUCAAACAUACGUCUAACUUUAUUAUUACGGGAUUAGAACUUAAAUUUGAUAAAUUGUGUGGUUUUAGGUGAUUUCUUUUCGUUAAAUUUAUCUAAAUCAACCUAACACUCGAAAAGUGAGAAUUCUCCUAAAAAUUCUUUAUGUUAGCAAAAAAUAUAGUGGAAGUAACUUGAAACGAAAGAGCAAUGAGAGAAUUGAAAAGACACAAGAAAAUAAUGCAUACAAGGUGUUUGAGUAAAUGCUCUCAAUAAAUUCUUUAACUCAAGAAGGAAUGAAGUACAACCAGUAUCUAGCCCCCCUAAAAUAGAAAAUUUUCCAUUUAUAUACCUUUAUAAUUUAUAAAAUUUAAAAUUUUACUUUCCCAUAAAAUGAUAAAAAAUUGAUUUAUUUCUUUAAAAAUUAUAAAGAUGACUAUUAAAAUAGUAAAAUUGUAUUUUUAUUAUUGUAAAAAUAUACAAUUUAAUUCUGUCUCCCAAAUUUUUUUUUUUUGGUUUCAUCCCUAAGUACAAUGAUCGUUGUAGCAGGAUACAUAGGCAUUCUAGCACAGAAUGCAAAUAUGUUGCCAAUUAACUUCGAGUCAUGGCAUAAAGUGCCCGAGAGUAACAAGAACCAAGCUCUCGAUAACAUUAAGGUAACAAAAUGUGUAUAUCAUUUAUAAUACUUGAGUUUAAGUUUCGUUUACAUUUACUUUCUGAAGUUGUGUUUUUUGUAGGGGAGAUUUGCUCUAGAGGUCUCCGAUGCUUAUGUAAAGAAGGCAUUGGGAAAAAGAUGGAGAGACCAUAAGAGCACUUUAAAGAAAGACUAUUUUAAGACAAAAACAACACUCGACGAGAGAUUACAAAAUGUCACGCCGGGAAUGCUGAGGUACCAGUGGGAAGAAGUCGUUAGAUUUUGGACUUCGAAGAAAGGAGAGGUAUGUGUUACUACAAAAAUCUUGUAAUUAUUUUGGUUUAUAGUAUUUACUAAUUAACGUACUAAUAAUUUCAUAACGUAGGAUCGUGAACGAGUUGGAACAAGUAGUAGGCAGAAACAAAAAUUCACGCACACAGCUGGGUCGAGAAGUUUUGCGUGUGUAGCUCAGGCCGAGGUAUUUUGAAUUUUUUAAUACUGGCAGAUAUUUAUUACUUUCUAUCAAAUAAUAUUUUUACUAUUGUAUUGUAGGAAGUGUUGUCGGGUCAAAAAGUUGGACGCCUUCAACUUUUUGACAUUACACAUAGGAAGAAAGAUGGAAACCCUAUGACUCCUGAAGCUGCAGAAAUUAUGGUACGUUUGCUUAAUACAAUUUGACUUGUUUUAAUUAUUUAUGCUGUUUAUUUUCUAAUGUUUUUUAUUACAUUUCUUGUAAUGCAAAUAUUGUUAAGUUAUGUUGCAUUUGUUUUGUUAAUAUAUGUUGCGUUCUUAACUAUGUGAUUUAUUUUUUAGGAAAAACUGAAGGAUAAAAAGGCGGAGUACGAAGCGAUUGCUUCCAGUGAUAGUUCUGUUCAUAUUGACGACAUUGAUAACCGGAUUAUCACUGAAGUUUUGGGUCCUGAAAGGUAUGGUCGGGUUCGAUUUCAAGGAUCUUUUGUUAACCCAUCCCAAUAUUUUGGAUCCAGCUCGCAACAAUACAUGCAUUCGGGGAGUCAGGCUCAAGCUGAAGUUCAGAGGUUAAGAGACCAGAUAGCUCAGAUGCAAGCGGCAACGAGUGAGCAAAUUACACAACUUAAAGCGGAGGCAACAUCGAGAGAAGCUGAGGUUCAAAAAAGAUAUGAAGAACUCCAGCUACAACUUAAAGCAGAUGCGGCAGCGAGAGAAGCAGAGGUAGCAGCGAGAGAAGCUGAGGUUCAACGAAAGUAUGAGCAACUGCAGCAGCAGCUUAAAGAAGAUGCGGCAACGAGAGAAGCAGCGGCUGCAGCGAGGGAAGUAGAGGCUGCAGUGAGGGAAUCAGAACAGCAUAAAAAGUUCGAUGAACUCCAGCAGCAGCUUCAGAAUAUGAUGAAGAUGUUUCAGCAGUCGCAACCGCCGUCAUCUUAGACUAUCGUUUAAAUAUACUUCAAUUUUGACUUUGGUAUUAUUAUUUUAACUUUUACAAUUUCUGUCAGAAUAAUACGAAUUUUAUUUUAUUUAUUGACAUUUAUUUUAAAUAUUAUAUAGAUUUGGUUAGAUUUGGUUGGUUGGAUUUGGUUUCUUCUGAUUUGUUUUUAUAGGAGGGGGCUGAAAUUUUUUUUUUCAAAUCUGCAAAAAUUAGCGGCGUUUUUUUGGAUAAGCGCCGCUAAAGACCAUCGUCUAUAGUGGAAUUUUUUGGCUAAGCGCCGCUAAAGACCAUGGUCUAUAGUGGCAUUUUUCGGCUAAGCACCGCUAAAGACCAUGGUCUAUAGUGGCGUUUUUUGUCUAAGCGCCGCUAAAGACCAUGGUGUAUAGUGGCAUUUUAUGGCUAAGCGCCGCUAAAGACCAUGGUGUAUAGUGGCGUUUUUUGGCUAAGCGCCGCUAAAGACCAUGGUCUAUAGUGGCGUUUUUUGUCUAAGCCCCGCUGAAAACCAUGGUCUAUAGUGGCGUUUUUUGGCUAAGCGUCGCUAAAGACCAUGGUCUAUAGUGGCGUUUUGUGGCUAAGCGCCGCUAAAGACCAUGAUCUAUAGUGGCAUUUUUCGGCUAAGCGCCGCUAAAGACCAUGGUCUAUAGUGGUGUUUUUUAGGCUAAGCGCCGCUAAAGACCAUGGUCUAUAGCGGCGUUGCAAAGAAAACGCCGCUAAAGACCAUGGUCUAUAGUGGCGUUUUUUAGGCUAAGCGCCGCUAAAGACCAUGGUCUAUAGCGGCGUUGCAAAGAAAAUGCUGCGAAAGGUCUUGAUCUUUAGCGGUGUUUAUUAUAAAAAGCGCCGCUAAAGUUACCGACGCUGUCAUUAGCGGCGAUCCUUGCGGCGCUUCGUAAAGCGCCGCUAAAAGUAUUUGCGGCGCUAAAAAAUGCCGCUAUAGACCUAAAAAAGCGCCGCUAAAACCCUGUUUUGGUGUAGUGUGAGAUGAUUACAAAUGAAGGGGGAGAUCUCUAUUUAUAGUUGAGCUCCCCUAGAUCCAAUAGUAUAGAUUGAAUUACAUCAACGAUUGAGAUUAGUACUUAUCUACAAGAUGAGUCUUAAGGAUUUUAAACUCUAUACAUCUUUAUCCCUUAGGAUUUACAUUAAUUACUCUGGUAACUCUAGUUUUACUGGAGAGUUUCACUGAACCACCAAAGGUUUAAGUAGAUGAGCUUCUCCAUAUGUUCCACGAGUUGGACAAGUUCAAGCGGAUCAAAUGAGCCCAAUUUAAUUAGUUAAUCUCAAUAAAACGUUCUAUGCACAAUGAUCAUGAACUUUGAUCCACAUCUCAAAAUGAUCAGAUGAAUAAUCUCUCUUAAUUAUAUUUUUAUAAAACUUGAUAUUUUCAUUUAAAAAGAAACACAAUCACAUAUAAUAAUGUCUCCAAAAGAGUCGUCCACUUCAAAGAUUUAAAGUAAUGUAAGAAUGAACCCAACAUUUUUCAAUUAAAAAUAUGUCGAUAGAUAUAGCAAGUUGUAUAACCUUUCAAUUACAAAACAGAUUUCAAUGGGGAUUGCAUCCGGUACAUGCAACUAAAGAACAGAACCGGUGCAUAAAUUGAUUUAAUUAAACUUUGGGUUGAGUAAUCAUGAUUUUCAUUAUUAUUAGACUACGUGAAUGUUGAUAUAAAAUGCUUGAGAGAAGGGUAUAGAAGAAACACAAAAUAAUGAGUGAUAUUAAUUUGUAGAUAAAGAUAAUAUUACAUAGUCGCAAAAAGCGACCUAGUACACAACGCACAACUCUAAAUUAGGAUAACUCCUCUGCUAUCCCUAUGGAUGGAUUUUAACAUCCAUAUUUAUUCUGUAGCUAUCGUUAUUUUGGCUUCCACUAGCUGGUGAACUUUCCAUGCCAAAACUUCACUUAACCCUGCAAAUGAAACAACAAAAAACACAACAUUAAAUGUUGAGCAAUUAAUAAGCAUAAGCAAUGAAACAACUCAUACGAACCUGCUGCAGUCAGUGCUAGGGCUGAUCUUGUAAGGGAUGUUGACACCGCACUUGCCUGGGAGUCCGCUUGCAAUACCAUAGUUGAUGCCAGGAAUGCCGGCGGCCGCACUUUUGAUGCAUUUGCAAGCUGCUUGCCGGUCUGGUGUUGUUUGGGCGGCGGAGUUGAGAGAUUUGAUGCCGCUGCAGCAACCUUGGGGAACGGCACCAGCACCAUUCCCUCUCAAGUAAUUAAUGCAGGGUGCGAGGGAGCCUGUGACUUGACCACAGGUUACGGUCCCUUGAGCCAGGGGUGCACCCACCACCAUGCACAACACCACCACACAUGCAAGCUUAAGGGACAUUGAGCUAGCCAUAUCGAUUAAUUACAAGAAAAACAAACUUGUAAGGAAAAUGCUUGCUUGGAGUAGUAGUAGUAUUGCUGAUUGUUGCGUGGUUAGGGCCCGAGGGUAGGAGGGUUUUUAUAGCCAAAAGUUUUGUGAAGGGAUAUGGAACGAACUGAGAAACACGUACGAAUAGAAUAUGGUUAGGCGUUGGUAGUUGUCCCAAUUCAAUGCCAAGGUUUCUUUUUUUCUUUUUCAUGUUUCAGCUUAUGGUUGAGUGUGUUUAAUGCUUUGAAAAAGGUUUGUAUCUACCACUUUCAUCUUCAUCACUAAUGCUGAAUUACUCCGUUGAUUAAUGCAUCAUAUUAGCCUUGUCCUAGUGUUACCGGUUUUCUGAUAUUAGUAGCUUUACCAAUAAAAGAUGCUAUCAAAUAUAGUUUUCAGGAUGAUAUUAAAAAUUAAGGUUUUUUAGUUACAAAUAAAAUUGUCACAUUAUCAAAUUUUAAAGAUAUGAAAUUAUUAUUAUAAACUCAUCUAUAGAGAAAUUAUUUUAUGAGCCCUUUCCACCACAUUAUUCACAGUCCAUUUUCAAUUAUUUAAUAAUAUUUCAACAAUAUUUUUCAUGUCAUUGACACAUAAUUUUAAUAAAUUUUUUACCCUGAACCUUGAGUCUAGAAUCCCAAACCCUAAAUAAAAAACUUAAAACCCCAAACUAUAACCCCAAACACUUGCAUCAUAAACUCGAACCGCGAACCUCAAACUCAUAAUCUGUAACCUUGAACCCAAACUUGUAAUCUCGAACCCUUGAACCCUUGAACCCUGAACCUAAACCUUGAACCCUGAACUCAAAGCCCAAAACCAAAACUGAACCCUGAACCUUAAAUCUCAAACCCAAACCUUAAACCUCGAGGUUUGGGUUCAAGGUUCAAGGUUCAGGGUUUGAGUUCAAGGUUCGAGGUUUAGGAUAAAAUAAUUACCAAAAUUUGUAACAGAAUAAAAGAGUUCGUUUAUAAUUUAAAAAGCAAUUAUUUUAAGUAAUUUAAUUAAAGUGAAAUUAAGUUAGAGAAAAUAUUAGAUAUAGAUGAGUGUAUAAUAAUACUUUAUUGUCUUUAAAAUUUAAUGACGUGGUACUAUUUUAUUGGUGCCUCAAACUAUACUUUUUAGAAUAAUCCUAAUACAAUUUAUUCCCAUAUUAAAUACGUAUGCUUUCUAUAUUUUUUCGAAAAAAUAAAUUUUAUUCAUAAACUUUCUAUAUAUAAAUAUAUGUUUUAUUUAAAAUUUAUAAAUACAGAAAAAUUAAAAUAUAAAUAUAUGUCAAAGUAGCUAUUAAGUGUAGAAUUAAACAAUUAUAACAUAUAAAUAGAUUAAAAAUUAGGACAAAAAAUCAAUCUAUUACAUAAAAUAUAAAUUAUGAAUGAAAACAAUCUAAAUUAUAGUCUGGCUAAUCAAACUAAAACUUACAUAUAACCAUAUGACUUUAAGGGUCUUGAAUAUGGUUACUUAAAAGCUUAUAGUUCAGCUUUUACCCACUACGUCAAGGCUUCAUUUACGUUUUUUUUAACCAUAUAUUUUUCAUAUAAUUAUAUAUAUAUAUUUUGCAUAAAAAAUCCCCAAGACGUUAAUUACUUCUAUAUAAUGUAGCGAUUAAGUCCUCAAACAAAAAUUGCUCAACAUCAAUGCAUGUAUAGAUCAAUUUUAUAUAUCAAAGACCAAUACUAUCUUUUUCUUAAAAAAAAAAAAAAACCAAUAUGUUGUGAUUGCUUAGCUAUUGUUCCUAAGUCUUCCUGAAAAAGGUUUCACAGCGAGAGGAGAAAAAAAAAAGUUGAACUUGUCUUGGUUUGCCCCAUAAUGAUUGAAGCAUAGACAAGAUUAUAAAUGUUAAUUUAGUAUACGACAUAAUAAUAUAAUAUAAUAUAUUUAAAUGUAUAUCUCCUCACCUCCUAGACGCUGUCAGUUAUUUUAUUUUUUGGGAUUCUUUUAACAAAAGGUUGAGCUUUUUAUUAGGUUUUAUUUGAUUUUUCAUUUAUUAAUAUAAUUUUUUUAUUUUUAUAUAUUUUAGUUAUUAUUAAUUUUUGUUGGAAAUUUGUACGGUCUUGUUCUAACAACAAUUACAACAAGCUUUUUGGAACAAUCAAAAGUUUUGGGUGUUGGCAUGUUUGACUUUUAAUGGCUUAUGUUUUAAUAUUAGUUAACAACAAAUGAUAAGAGAAUUUCAUGGUAAAUUAGAAUAUAAUUAUCAUCCAUUUGAUUAGUCUUGAAGAGGAAGGAGAGGAGUUUUAACUUUGGUGGACACCCAUCCUUAUCCUUGUCUUUUAGAGUGUUUGAAGCUAUUGGAGAACUUGGUUUUAAAGAUUUUAUUUGAUAAAUAUUCAAAAUAAUUAAUUUGAUAAUUUCAACUUUUAAAGGAGAGUUUAAAACUUAUCAAAAUAUUAUUUGAUAAACACUUGUAGAGGCGUAUAAAUAGGCAACAGUGUGGUGUAACUUUGUUUGUUGUUUUGGAGUGUCUUAAACUUUUAUUUUUUUGCUAUUCCAUUGGGUAACUUUAUGACACUCUCUUUUUAGGUAUUAUUUGGAGAUGUUUAGUAAUUGUAUUGUGAGGAAUUUGAGUGAGUGAUUGCAUUGAAGAAAUGCGACCUAAAUGUAUAUGUUAAACUCUUAUCUAGGACAUAAAUUCCAUGAACAAGGUACCCAUGUUAAUAACAUGUCACCACUUCGCAUCUUUAUGGUAUUGACCCUAUGUAGUUAGACCCUAUAUGACGUAAACAACACUUAUAGUGUGCACGAUAUCGUAGGCUUGAACGUUGAUUGAAUGCAACCUAUAUUUUGGUGCCUUUGUCGGAAAUGAUGUAUGCAUCGGGUUGCGGUACAAAUGCCUUCUCAGGUUAGUUAAGAAGAAAUCCCAUUCAUCAUUGGAUUCUUCAGGAGUUAUUACAAAAGCUAUUGGCAGGAUUUUUAGGUUACCAUCUUAUGCAACAACUACUAACAACCGAUGGUCGCAUAUUCUAUACAGGAAUGUGCCGUUAAUUUGGAAAAGUGGCUUACAGUACCAAAAUGUAGUUCUGCAUUGCUUAAAAGUCCAAAAGCAACGGUGGAAAACUCCUUUUCCAGGGACCAAGCAAUCGUCAUAAUACGCAGGCUCCAUUUUUAACUUGGUUACAGAACCUAGUAUGUACCACUCUAGUAUCUAACACCAUUGCCACAAUUUAUAGUAGGAUUUCUCCCACCCUCUAUUCAUUUUCUCCAAUGCCUUCUAUUUUUGCAACUAUGUCUUAUGCUAGGACAUGGUGUAAUCGGAUUCUCUACAGAUGUGUGCGAUCAAAAUUGGGACCAGAAUCGUAGGACUUGCUUUUGCCAUGGGUAAUAGAAUUUUAGAUAUCAUGUCUAAAUCUAAUUUUGGAUGAUCAUUCGAUAUGCUUGAAAAACAAGAAAUCAAGUCACUAUGUGUAAUAGAAUGUAAAAAAAGGCUAGGAUUCGAGUCGAUGUUGUUAGCCAUAUUACAUACCAGCUACAACACAUGUAUGUGGCACGAUAAAUUUCCUACGUUUAAAAUGCCAACUUCUUCGUCAUAAAUGCCAUGAUUUUCCAUAGACAUCUUGUUGCACGCAUUGUGCGCAUCGCCUUAUAUUUCUCGGAUUGAGAGCAUGUAAUAGUGAAGUUGACACCAAGUUGUAUGCUAUACUACUUGAUUGUAGCUACAAAAGCAUAUUUGGAGUCAAAUUCCAUCCCAACCUCUAAGUGGUCGAAAUUUGUUGAUGAAGUCGCAUACCUUAGUCUUCUACGGGGGAGGUCUGGGAAUUCUAAAACCACUUUCACUAGUAAGACUGAGAGUACGCAUAUGGGGUGGGGGUUUGUAUUUCGUGAAACUUAGGUCAUCCCCUCGAGCGAUGUCUAAAGCUUGACCAUUAGAUCCAUCGUCUUCUAGUUCAGUAGGAAUGGGAUCUAGUUCUAAAAUUACUACAAUUUCGCACCAUCCAGUCCAACCACCUCUCCUGGGUCAUUAUCUGAUUUAGACCCCUCUUUGACCACUUUGUUCUCUUGUCCCUCUUUGUUAUCAACCCUGGUUGUAAGUCCAGGGUUGGAUGUACCCUCUCUGGUCAAAGUUGUCAAGAGUAGAUCAUUCAUUCUUGUAAAUCCGAUGUCAAUCCCAAAAUCAAUUCUGUUUGGCCUACCCAGUAACUUGAUGGUGUACCAUAUGAGUGUUAUCGAGGUUGAACAUAGGUGUGUCAAAGUUGAAACCAAAGGCACUGAUAGAAUGUUGUGCGGCUGUGUUGUAGGCCUGGUGACCGAAUACGUCUAACUAUCCCCCGAAGUUGAAAUCGAGGGAUGAAAUCGAUGAAUGCCUCACCAUUGAUGAUGUUAAUAAUGUGUCUUUGUAUAAGCUUUGUAGAAAUGAUCUGAAUCCACAACAAAACCGUGUGGCCAGACUUUUUGCUUCUUGAUUUGGCUAGAAAUUUGGCGGACACGGUAUAAUCGAGCUUGGGCCACCUUUUUCCUCUUCAGCAAAGACUGUAUAUUCUCACUAGAGUAAUGAGUUUCGAUCACUGUCUUCAAACCGUUGUCCCCUGUGAUCUGAAAAAUGGAAUAUCUAACGGGGUUAAAUGAUGUUAGAUAUCUACAUUUCAGGCUCAAAAUUCUUCUUCAGAUCCCUACUUUAUGCCUAAACCUUGUUCAAAGCUCUUUUAACGUUAUGCUCUAGUUGAAUGUCAGAUCUUUAGAUUGGGUUGAUACAAAAAUGGGCUCAAUUUCAGCCUCACAAUUUUGACCGUUGUAAUGGACAAUAGCUCUGGCUCGUCUCCUCAUCUUGAACCAAAUAUUCUAUUCCACAUGUUUAAAAUCGAGAAAAUUGUAAAAAUAUAGUUCUCAUCACCCAAAUCCCUAAAUUUACACUUACUUUAAUGAAAUACCUUUGCUUCGACAAUAUUGUCAGUAUAAAAUUUUUGUUUUUUACUACAACAUCGAUAACUCCUAAUGCCAACAAUCUGCUUCAAACAUCUGUAUGGAAAAUCCAAGAAUUAUAUUGAGUUUUUUUAUAGAGCCUUUUCCUCGACGCACAUGAAACGAUUCUAGCAACAACACAUGUCAAGGCAUUAGUUGUUUUUGAGGUAUACACUAAAAAUUAAAAUUUGUGGGGGAGAAAACGUUCCCCGCAACGAUGUUUUUCAGCACCUAGACAUAGCAUUGAAAUUUAUCCUAGGAAUCCCGGGUUGUAGGGGCUUAGAGGUUGAAGCAAUCAAGUUGGCUUGGGUAUUGAAAGACCAUAAAGAAAAUGCCUAUUGCAGGAAGCAUUUCCACCUGACUUGGCAAUCAAAAUGCCUCCUGCAGGACGCGUUUUCCAGCCACAUCUCUGAUAUGUUAGUCGAAAACGCAUCUUGCAAGAGGCGUUUGUACUGCCAUGUUAGGUAAAAACACUUCCUGCAGGGAACAUUUUCUUUAUGGCCAUUUCAACACCCAGGCCAACUUAAUUGCUUCUGCCUCUGAGCCCUUACAACACGGGAUUCUCGGGAUAAAAAAAUUUCCCUUUUUACCCCACCCCAUCCCUUAUAUAAAUGCAUGUUCUCAUCCCCUACUCACCCAUAUCUCAGUCUCCUUUAAAUUAUUUUUUUCUUUUUCUUCCGUGUUGAAAUUUUCAAGUUUAAAGAUUUAUUUCUCUCACACUUUGAGGGGGAUGUAAUCAUAGUUUUAAGUUGUGUUUGAGUUCACAAUAAUGUCGUGGCGCUUGAUAACUUACAAAUUUCACUUGUCGUGUGAGUAUGGAGCCAUCACUUGAGAAAUCGAGAUCGCUUUGCAACUCGAGGUCCAAGUUGACGGUGUAAAUAAGGCUUCAAGUUUACAAAGGUUAUGCUAUUAAAAGGAUGGAGCAAAACCGGGACUGUAGUUGAUGAUGGUGAUGCAAGCACAAGAACUAGUUUUUCCUCAUUGGAAGAGCAUACUUUAUAAAAUCCAUAUACAAGUACGAGGGAGAAAAUCACAGGGGUCUUCCAGUAUAAUCAAGUAAUUCAUUUUAUCCUUUUCCAGCAAAGGCAAUGACCCUGUUACUAAAACCUAUUACAUCCCAAUUCUAUCAUAGGUAAUAGUAACGGUGUCACUGUCUUUGGUGGAGAUGGAUAAAAAAAUUUACUUAAUUAUACUGAGAUACCAUUGCAUUUUUCUUCCUCGUACUUGUGUAUGAGUUUUAUAAAGCAUCAUUUUCUAAUGAAAAAAGUUUUUUGUCGUGCCCGCAUAACCAUUGUAAAUUACAGCUCCAAUCAUACUCCGUCCUUUGAUAGCGUAACAUUUUGUAAACUUGAAGCUCUAGUUACACUUCAAUUUCAGACCGUAUAAUCACCCUUAACUGGGACCAUGAGUUGCAAUGCGAUCUGGCUUCUCGGGUGAUGGCUCCAUACUCACAUGACAAAUGAAAUUUGUAGGUCACCUAACUCCACGACACCACCAUAAAUUCAAACAUUCCUUAAAACUAUAACAGUGUCUAUCUCAAACAAGAAUGAAAAUAAAUGUUCAAACUUCUAAUUUCAAAUUGCAAGAAAAAAAAAAGAAAAAAAUAAAUUUUAGCAAAGUAAAAAUGGGUCCUACCGGCACAUUUUCAUUGCCACAUCAAUGAAAAUACACCUCGUACGACACGUUAUUCUUUCUUCGUAAACAAUGUAAAUCAAUAAAUUUAAAAAAAAAUUAUACAUUCUCAAAUAACUCUUUUUUUCAGCAUUUUUGUUAAAUUUAUCCCAUAAUACUGCUACUUCUUGUUUCCUGGGUUAUUUUUAUUACUGCUGGUUGUACCACCCUCCUACUGUGCGCCGGUUAUAGCAACUCACUCAAGAUUCUAAAUACUAAUAUAAACACCAUUUCUUUUAUUCUUAGUUUUUUUAGUGAUUAACGUGGUUUUAAUUAUCGUUAGAUCACGUGGGUGUUUAUAUGAAAUGCUUGAAAUCGUCACGCAGGACAAAAAAAAAAAAGAAAAAGAAAAGGAAAUGAAGAGUAUAUAUAUAGAGGAAACAACUAGUGAGAGUGAUAUUAAUAUUUAGAGUAGGUAAAGAUAGUAUUAUAUAGUCGCAUAUGCGACCUUGUACAUUACCACUAACUCUAAAACUAGGAUAACUCCAACAAUGAAUAGUACCGCUAUGGAUUUUUAACAUUCAUUUUUAUUCUGUCGACAUCACUAUUUCCCUUCCAUUAGCUGAUCCCAACUUCCAUGACCACACUUCACUUAAUGCUGCAAAUGCAACCACACCAAACAAAACAUUCAUAAAUUAAUAAAUCAAUUGCCAUAAGCGAUAAACUUUGGGUCAUUUUCUUUUUCCGUAAUUUCAAAGAAACCUAGUUUAAAUUAGAUACGAACCUUUUGCAGUCAGUGGAAGGGCUGAUCUUGUAAGGGAUGUUGAUACCGCACUUGCCUGGGAGUCCGGCUGCAGUGCUAUAGUUGAUGCCAGAAAUGCCGGUGGCCGCACUUUUGAUGCAGCUGCAAGCUGCUUGCCGGUCUGGUGUUGUUUUGGCGGCAGAGUUGAGAGAUCUGAUGCCGUUGCAGCAAGCUGGGGGAGCAGAACCAGCACCAUUCCCUUUCAAGUAAGCAAUGCAGGGUGCGAGGGCGCUUGUGAUUUGACCACAACUUAUGGCCCCUUGAGCCAGGGGUGCACCCACCACCAUGCAAAACACCACCACACAUGUAAGCUUAAGGGACAUUGAGCUAGCCAUAUCAAUUAGUCACAAGAAAACAAACUUGUAAGGAAAAUGCUCGCUUGGAGUAG
This 41066-nucleotide long non-coding RNA is filed under the name Gossypium barbadense (sea-island cotton). RNAcentral describes it as "long non-coding RNA (GBAR_LNC019854)". The record is from RNAcentral. Lineage: Eukaryota; Viridiplantae; Streptophyta; Magnoliopsida; Malvales; Malvaceae.